Molecule: long non-coding RNA, 346 nt
Organism: Pomacea canaliculata
Lineage: Eukaryota; Metazoa; Mollusca; Gastropoda; Architaenioglossa; Ampullariidae
Exons: 3
Source: RefSeq, a predicted model, not a curated record
AUAUAGGGAUAAUCUAUCAUCCCAGGAAUAUUACUGUUUACAGGAAGACGAAAUAAAGUACAGUAUUAUUGCAGGGUCAGAAAGUGAACACGAAGCUGAAGUGUCCUGCUCCAUUGGGAUUUCUGGUCUGUUUUCUUAUUUUCCACGUGGUGCAAGGUGUGACCUCAGGCAAUGUGACUGGUACUGAGUGCACUGUACAGGAGUCGUACCUGAUGUACAAAACUGUUCUGAUUCAGCACGCGCACGAAGUCUGCACUAACACUUGGUGUUGGCAUUUUCCUCCGCGAUGUAGGAGAUGCAGAACAGAGCUGAGGUCAACGUACAAAGUGGUCACGGAGCUCGCCUA